This 478-nucleotide ribosomal RNA is filed under the name uncultured bacterium. Its description in RNAcentral is "partial 16S ribosomal RNA". It matches the Rfam family "Bacterial small subunit ribosomal RNA", at positions 28 to 507 of the family's 1533-position model. The record is from RNAcentral.
GAUGAACGCUAGCGGCAGGCCUAACACAUGCAAGUCGAGGGAGAAGCCCUUUCGGGGGCAGACACCGGCGCACGGGUGCGUAACGCGUAUGCAACCUACCUUUCACAGGGGGAUAGCCCGAAGAAAUUUGGAUUAAUACCCCAUAAUAUUAUUGGAUGGCAUCAUUUGAUAAUUAAAACUGCGGUGGUGAAAGAUGGGCAUGCGUCCUAUUAGCUAGUUGGAGUGGUAACGGCACCCCAAGGCUACGAUAGGUAGGGGUCCUGAGAGGGAGAUCCCCCACACUGGUACUGAGACAGGGACCAGACUCCUACGGGAGGCAGCAGUGAGGAAUAUUGGUCAAUGGUCGGAAGACUGAACCAGCCAUGCCGCGUGCAGGAAGAAUGCCUUAUGGGUUGUAAACUGCUUUUAGAUGGGAAGAAUAAGGCGUACGUGUACGUUGAUGACGGUACCAUAUGAAUAAGCAUCGGCUAACUCCGUA